GCAAGGAGCUCAGAUUUGGAAAUCGUGCUUUGCGGCACGCGUUGUAGAUUGCAGGUUGGAGUCUGUGUGGAAGGCGGUGUCCAAGUCCCUUGGAACAGGGCGCCCAGGAGGGUGAGAGCCCCGUGGGAUGCCGGCGGAAGCAGUGAGGCCCUUCUGACGAGUCGAGUUGUUUGGGAAUGCAGCUCCAAGCGGGUGGUAAAUUCCAUCUAAGGCUAAAUACUGGCGAGAGACCGAUAGCGAACAAGUACUGUGAAGGAAAGAUGAAAAGCACUUUGAAAAGAGAGUGAAACAGCACGUGAAAUUGUUGAAAGGGAAGGGUAUUGCGCCCGACAUGGGGAUUGCGCACCGCUGCCUCUCGUGGGCGGCGCUCUGGGCUUUCCCUGGGCCAGCAUCGGUUCUUGCUGCAGGAGAAGGGGUUCUGGAACGUGGCUCUUCGGAGUGUUAUAGCCAGGGCCAGAUGCUGCGUGCGGGGACCGAGGACUGCGGCCGUGUAGGUCACGGAUGCUGGCAGAACGGCGCAACACCGCCCGUCUUGAAACACGGACA
Molecule: ribosomal RNA, 546 nt
Filed under: Pichia kudriavzevii
Lineage: Eukaryota; Fungi; Ascomycota; Pichiomycetes; Pichiales; Pichiaceae
Description: eukaryotic LSU rRNA
Rfam family: Eukaryotic large subunit ribosomal RNA
Source: RNAcentral